Molecule: ribosomal RNA, 274 nt
Filed under: uncultured bacterium
Lineage: Bacteria
Description: partial 16S ribosomal RNA
Rfam family: Bacterial small subunit ribosomal RNA
Source: RNAcentral
AUACGAAGGUCCCAAGCGUUAUUCGGAAUCACUGGGCGUAAAGAGUACGUAGGCGGUUUGGUAAGUCAGGUGUGAAAUCCCGAAGCUCAACUUCGGAACUGCAUCCGAUACUGCCAGACUUGAGUAAUGGAGAGGCAGGUGGAAUUCUCGGUGUAGUAGUGAAAUGCGUGGAUAUCGAGAGGAAGACCAAUGGCGAAGGCAGCCUGCUGGACAUUUACUGACGCUGAGGUACGAAGGCUAGGGGAGCGAAAGGGAUGAGAAACCCCAGUAGUCC